AUUAUCCGCACAAGGCAAUCACGUAUGUGGGGUCAACCAACUUAUCUCUGCAAGCUUGUACAGAAAGAUAAUUAUGCCAAUAGCCUUGUACAGUUCUGAAUUAUGGAAUAAUCUCAUUGUCUCUGAUUCUACUGCAAUAUCCCGUUUUCAGCAUUCUGCAGUAAAACGUAUACAAGGGCUUCCCAAAUCUACCCGUUCUGAUAUGGCAGAAUCCAUGCUAGGACUUAACCGACUCAUGUCCUAGCAUG
Molecule: small RNA, 248 nt
Filed under: Spisula solidissima (Atlantic surf clam)
Lineage: Eukaryota; Metazoa; Mollusca; Bivalvia; Venerida; Mactridae
Description: cnRNA275
Source: RNAcentral